Molecule: non-coding RNA, 559 nt
Organism: Taeniopygia guttata (zebra finch)
Lineage: Eukaryota; Metazoa; Chordata; Aves; Passeriformes; Estrildidae
Source: RefSeq, a predicted model, not a curated record
CUCCCGAGGCGCGUCCCGGGCCGCCGCCGGGCGGGGCCGCGGCCUGAGGGGUCCGCCCAGGUGCGGGAGGCGGCAGUGCCGCUGGCCGCCUCAGGGGUGCCUCAGGCGUGCCGGGCUCCCCGGGGCUCCCCAGGCACACGAGUACCGGCUCGGCGCUCACAGCCCACCUCCCCGCCCGGCUGCCGGCUCCAGGCUGGGGGCGGGUGUACACCCAGCUGGCAGGCGGCCGGCGCGGCGAGCUCGCUGUGCUGCCAAGGGGCACUAACUUCGCACGCUGCACCAGACUGAAGACAGAUGAUGCUUCCUGGGAAGAUGGGCACAUCCUCCUCCACCUGACAAAACUUGUUUGACCAGCUCUACUAUGGACUCCCUGCAAAUGUAGAAACCAGAACUGCCCAGCUCUGAAAACAUGUGUCCGCUGGUCUCACACAAGGAGCCAACAUGCAGAGCAGGUGGAAUUGGAAGACCCCACUCGAGCACCGUCUCGAGCAGCAGGAGACUGUGAAGAGGAAGAAGCAACACAAUCCCCACCCACCUUUGCUGCUGGGAGACAGGAGGU